Molecule: ribosomal RNA, 330 nt
Filed under: uncultured eukaryote
Lineage: Eukaryota
Description: partial 18S ribosomal RNA
Rfam family: Eukaryotic small subunit ribosomal RNA
Source: RNAcentral
CCCUUAGAUGUUCGGGGCCGCACGCGCGCUACACUGAAGGAAUCAGCACGUCUUUCUCCUUGUCCGAAAGGACUGGGUAACCCGCUGAACCUCCUUCGUGCUAGGGAUUGGGGCUUGUAAUUCUUCCCCAUGAACGAGGAAUUCCCAGUAAGCGCGAGUCAUAAGCUCGCGUUGAUUACGUCCCUGCCCUUUGUACACACCGCCCGUCGCUACUACCGAUUGGGUGGUUUAGUGAGAUCCUCGGAUUGGUCCCGGCGCGGCCUCUGGUCGUGCCGGAGUGCCGAAAAGAAUGUCGAACUUGAUCAUCUAGAGGAAGUAAAAGUCGUAACA